GAUGAACGCUGGCGGCGUGCCUAAUACAUGCAAGUCGAGCGAACAGACGCGGAUCUUGCUCCUCUCACGUUAGCGGCGGACGGGUGAGUAACACGUGUAUCCCCUCCCUAUAUGACUGGGAUCACUUCGGGACACCGGCUCUAAUCCCGGAUAAUCUAUUGCACCGCAUGGUUCAAUAGUGAAUGACGGUUUUUCUGUCACUUCUCGCUGGAUCCGCGCCGCAUUAGCUAGUUGGUAAGGUAACGGCUUACCACGGCGACGAUGCGUAGCCGACCUGAGAGGGUGAUCGGCCACACUGGAACUGAGACACGGACCAGAGUACUACGGGAGGCAGCAGUAGGGAAUCUUCCGCAAUGGGCGAAAGCAUGACGGAGCAACGCCGAGUGAGUGAUGAAGGUCUUCGGAUCGGAAAACUCGGUUAUGAGGGAAGAACAAAUGUGGAAGUAACUAUGCACGGCGUGACGGUACCGAAUAAGAAAGCAACGGCUAACUACGUG
Molecule: ribosomal RNA, 497 nt
Filed under: uncultured bacterium
Lineage: Bacteria
Description: partial 16S ribosomal RNA
Rfam family: Bacterial small subunit ribosomal RNA
Source: RNAcentral